Molecule: long non-coding RNA, 3458 nt
Organism: Pieris rapae (cabbage white)
Lineage: Eukaryota; Metazoa; Arthropoda; Insecta; Lepidoptera; Pieridae
Exons: 3
Source: RefSeq, a predicted model, not a curated record
ACUAUCGCCAUCUGUAAUGGCUACCGUUUCAAAAACAUGUCAUAUUUUGGUAUUUUUUCCGAAAGUUUUUUAUUCGAUUAUCUAGCUCAUUUAAACGUUCCCGUAUCAUUUAAACUAAAGUUAAUAAUUUUAGUUUUUCAAUUAAUCCAUGCGAGGAUAACAUAAUAGACGCUGAUAAAUGUAAAAUAUCAAUUAAAUCAGUAAAUUAAGAGAGAUGUGAAAGCAGUCACUAAUGAACAUAAUAAGAAGUUCUUAAUAUAUUAUUGUAACUCUAUUUGAAGCUAAUGAUAGAAUAUUGAUUAAAAUUUAUCAAAUAAAGUGGAUUUAUACUUCAUGAACUUUAGAAAUAUAAAAUCUAGUGAACAAAACUAAGUAAUGGUUACUAAGAAAAAGAGAAAAGAAAAUAUGUUUAUUUUGAAACAUAAGAUCAUCAUGGUAUCACUUAUUCCUCAUCAUCAAAUCCGAGCCUGAUGGCAUCCCUACUCAUUGGCAAAGAAGACAGAGGAUGUUGGCUGAGAGAAAAAGCCGGCGUAAAAAACUCGUGGUACUCUUUUUAAAAAAAGAAGAGAAGCAAAUAAGACAACUAAAAGCUAACCACAAAUGGACAAGUUUUAUUGGUCUUAGCUUUUAAUUAAUUUAAGUGUUAUAUUAUAUACCUGAGAAUGAAUUUGUUAAAGAGGGUUGAAGUAUUUUAUGAAUAAUGUAAAAAAUAAGAGGAGUGGAGUAAGAAAUAAUGGUUGGUUAAGUAACAUUACCUCAAGAACUGGAAACAGUAACUGAAACUAUAUUCUUCCACAUUUAAUCUUAAUUAGUUCAGCAGUUUGAAUGUGGAUGAGAUAUUUAUUAUAAACAAACUGCAUUUGUAGAUUUUCGGAAGAACUAUAUCUUUAUAAUAACUAUUAUUAUAUAUGUACCAUCAUUCUCUCAAGGAAACAAUCACUUUUUUUUAAUCGCUUUAAAUCAUGAUGAUAGUAGUUAUGUUAACCGAUUACAAUUUUCAGCACCGAUUCAAACCGAUUACUGUUACAAAAAAAAACAGUAUUUUUAGGUAGUGUUAGGCUUUUCCUUACUUUUUUGAAGACAACAGAACAAAGGGUUUUUUUUAUUUAACUACUAUAUUAAAAUCAAAUUAUCUUUUGCAAAAAAAAAACAUCUUAUUGCAUAAAAUGUUGACAUUUUGAUUAAGAAAACAGAUCUGGUCGACAGCAGCAGUAAUCCUAUAGAGUUCAAUGGUUCUAAAUGUUAGUGCUCCAAAAAAUGCCAGCACUUUCAGUUUCAUGGUGCUGGGGCUCUGUCUCCAUAAACAUGUGCAGUAUGUUAACUGGAUGCAGUUACAUUGUUAGUGGUUUUCCUUCGUUUCAAAAAGUCUAAUAUUUCUGGUUUUUUCGGUUCCAUAUUAAUUGUUUCCAUUGAAAUAUUAACUGCUUGUUCUGAAGUUGUUGCCAUAAUAUUGGUAUCAGAAUCUUUUAUUAAAUGAGACAAUUCUCUUCUUACUAUCUCAUUGGCAGCUUAACAUAUUUUCCGAGCGCCUAAAACCUGUUCUUAAUAUGGGAUGUAAGUACGUCGAAAUUUGAGUGACAGUUCUUGUUUCGUAUACUAAAAGCCUGCUACUCAUAUUUCGACGUACUGAUGAGAGCAAAACAUUUUGCCAAUAUCUGUUUUCAAAGCAUUUUCAAUCAAUCCACUUGGAAAUGGUAAUCAAAUUUUCAAACAAUCCACAAAUUAGUGGUAUAAUCAAUGAACUGGUCGGAUAUGUAUCGGCACUAACUAGCUUUGUCGCCUAUUCGAAUAUUUAUAAGAUCUUUACUCUUUAGUAUUUCUUUGCCCACUCUUUCUUCAUUGGCAGUUAAGUAUUCUGGAGCCUGGUUUAAUUUUGUACAUACUAAUGCCAGAACAUCGGAUACUUGAAGUUCCCGAGAUAUUCCGAAUUUGAUUUUUCCAAAAUGGCGGACAAAAUGGCCGUCAUUUUGUCCGCCAUUUUGGCCGCCUCGUGCUCGACCCGUUAAGUACGAAACCCGGGUAUGUAGAGUCGGCUCUUCUUUUUAACAACUUUUGUUCACAGUCCGGUACAAUCAGUUUGCAGGGAUGUCUUUUAUAAAUUUCUAAUGCUAAAGUUCGUUUUCUGGGUGAAAAACUCGUGAACGGCGGGAGAGGGGGGAGUUGUGGGGGAGAAUUUCAAAAUUAAUUUUUUUUGUAAUAAAAAUUAAACGCGCGGUGCAAGGCUUGUAUACUAUGUAUACAAGACUGCUGUCAGAAAAAUUUUGUAAAUUUUUCGGGAUUUUUGCAAAUUUCGGAAUUUAAAAGCUGGUAUGUGGAUAGUGUAUACAUAUACCGGGGUGACGUCAAAAUUGCCCUAUCUCCUACCGUUUCCGAGUUAUUCCCUGUUUUUUGAAGUAAGUCUUCCCGUCGGCUUUUCUCGGCAACCGCUGACUUGUUUUACUUACUGCACUCGACGGGAGCUUUCCAACGGUGUAUAUCACGCCUUCGAAAUCCCUCGGGAUCCCUAACCACGUUACACGUGGUUUUUAUGUUCUUGCUUAGUAACUUUUUUCUUUUUAACUCGGCCCUCUAUCGCCUUGUUGUUGUCAAGCCCCUUUUUAGUUUUAACUUAUUUUUAUCCAAACCUUUAGGCUUAAAAAUCCAAAUCGGGUAUCAGUAGAUGCGGCUCAAAAAGGCUCAUCCAACGAGUCCUUAAUCGGUAUAUGUCGUAGAUCUAUUUUAAGCGUCGCACUCACUUUUAUCACAGUAGGUAUAUAAUUUUUCAUUUUUUUUGCACUUUUUAUUAUUAACGUAGAGCAAAUUGAGCUCUAUUAGAUGACACAAUACUCUUAUUUUUAACUGCACUGUAAGUAUUUUUAGUUUUGUAAAAACCUGUUUUUUGAAAGUUUUUUGGCUAUUAAAAAUAUCAAAUGAAAAAAAUUAACGUUGAAUUUUGCAAUGUUAGACGCAGCGUAAUUCUGCAUCUACUGAUAUGUAACACCAUAUGAAAAACUUCUGAAAACUAUUUUUAAACAAUUAAAAACGAUUUUCUGCUCGCGGAGCGACACAGAUUUCGACCGUUUCGGGCGGCCGCGGCGUUUCGACGCGGACUGGUUAUGUUAGGUUAGGUUUUUUUUUUUAAUUGAAUCGCCUAAUGGCCUACUACACGGCACCGGGCAGGUCCGUGGCCGAGGAAGUUAAUCGAAAAAUCUUUAUUUUUGUUCACAUAUUUACAUAAAAUACAAUACAAUUUUAACAAAUGCAGAGUAAUUUUACAUAAAGUGGGUGUGGAUCUGCGGAGGAUGUAACUAUUCGAUACUCUGCUUUCCGCUGCAGAUCCGUUACAAUUAUAAUGGUGAGUGAGUGAGAGAGUUACAAUUAUAACUAAGAUUAAAAUUAAAUUUAACAAUCGUUUGGUGUAUAAAUAAUUAACAGUUGGGUGACGUAAAUUACGAUAUCGACAGCCCGGACUCUCAAAA